GUGCUUGCUUCGGCAGCACAUAUACUAAAAUUGGAACGAUACAAAGAAGAUUAGCAUGGCUCCGCACAAGAAUGACAUGGAAAUUCGUGAAGUAUUCCAUAUUUUU
This is a small nuclear RNA of Tupaia belangeri (northern tree shrew), 106 nucleotides long. The record is from Ensembl. NCBI's taxonomy places the organism in Eukaryota, Metazoa, Chordata, Mammalia, Scandentia, Tupaiidae.